This 545-nucleotide ribosomal RNA is filed under the name Septoria tanaceti. Its description in RNAcentral is "eukaryotic LSU rRNA". The stretch from base 188 to 341 matches the Rfam family "5.8S ribosomal RNA". Lineage: Eukaryota; Fungi; Ascomycota; Dothideomycetes; Mycosphaerellales; Mycosphaerellaceae. The record is from RNAcentral.
UUCCGUAGGUGAACCUGCGGAAGGAUCAUUAAAAAAGGAUGUCACUUGUGGCAUACCCCAUCCGUGUCUAUAUACUCUUGUUGCUUUGGCAGGCCGUGGUCUUGACCCUGUGGGCUUUAUGCCUGCAGUGCCUGCCAGAGGACCAAACUCUGAAUUUUGUGAUGUCUGAGUACUAUAUAAUAGUUAAAACUUUCAACAACGGAUCUCUUGGUUCUGGCAUCGAUGAAGAACGCAGCGAAAUGCGAUAAGUAAUGUGAAUUGCAGAAUUCAGUGAAUCAUCGAAUCUUUGAACGCACAUUGCGCCCAGUGGUAUUCCGCUGGGCAUGCCUGUUCGAGCGUCUUUAAAACACACGCCUUUGCGUGGUAUUGGGAGCUGCGGUUCGCUGCAGCCCCUAAAAAUCAAUAGYGAUACCCACUGGUCCUACGCGUAGUACAAUACCCCGCUUAAGGAACGUGGCUCUUUCAGCCCUAAAAUUAGGAGUCUCGGGUAACCGGACGCCUAGUACGUAGUUUGACCUCGGAUCAGGUAGGGAUACCCGCUGAAC